RNAcentral lists this ribosomal RNA (383 nucleotides) under uncultured eukaryote. RNAcentral's name for it is "partial 18S ribosomal RNA". It matches the Rfam family "Eukaryotic small subunit ribosomal RNA", at positions 592 to 976 of the family's 1831-position model. The record is from RNAcentral.
CAAUAGCGUAUAUUAAAGUUGUUGCGGUUAAAAAGCUCGUAGUUGGAUCUCGGCAGGCAGGGGGUGGUUCGCUCUUAGCGCUACUGCCCCAUUUGCCUGUGUGAUUGGCGGAGGUUUCGGGGUGCCCUUCGUUGAGUGACCCGGGGCGCCGUCAGGUUUACUUUGAAAAAAUUAGAGUGCUCAAAGCAGGCUUUUCACGCUUGAAUAUUCGUGCAUGGAAUAAUGGAAUAGGAACUCGUUUCUAUUUUGUUGGUUUUCGGAAAUCGAGUUAAUGAUUAAUAGGGACAAUUGGGGGCAUUAGUAUUCAGACGACAGAGGUGAAAUUCUUGGACCGUCUGAAGACUAACUACUGCGAAAGCAUUUGCCAAGAGUGUUUUCAUUAA